GUAUUAUACAGGUGAGAGUCCACAGAAGGAGAAAGAAAACAAAUCAUAUGCAUGUUGAUCGUUCAGAAUUACUUAAGUUGUUAAGAAGCUUAAAAGGGUAAAAGAAUAAUGGGGUUCGGAAUCCAUUUUCCGUGGCCUAGAAAAGGAAAAGAAUAACAAAGAAAUUCUUGACUUGAGAAUACGUCCAUUGCUUUGGGUUUGAGUUAAGAUUCUGAAAUUCCAUUCCCCAGAAUCUGACUUUUAUCCUGAACCCCAAGUCCUUUUCCCCAUAAGGAAUAUCAUUCCGUGGUCAUUGAUUUCCUUUUAUUUUAAGCCAGUGUCUUCACCCUGGGGUCAACAAGCAGGCACCAAUUCGAGCUGUGCGUCUUUACUAAUCAUGCACAGUGGCAGAGAUACCCUUGUACGAGAGCGUUAUCCGACACCGCUUCAUCGAAAAAAAUUCAAACACAUAAUUAUAUAUUAUAGAUCAACAUUAAUUUGGGACAAUGAAUAAAUUCUUUGAAGAUCUACAACUCCAAAUCCUAACUCAAAUAUAAGCUGAGUUGAUAAUAAGUCAGGCAUUGCUCACACAAAAUUCUGCGUACACUACACUACAGAUCAGGCAUUGACGAACUCUCCCACCAUUGCCUCCCUAAGAUGAUUCGAAAUGCUCUAUUUCUUUAUUUUUAUUUUUUUAAUGUGAGAUUCAUCUUGUACUUUAAAGUAAAAUUAACUAAAUCUAAGAGCUUUAAAAAGGAAAUGCAAGUACAAGAAAGAACAACAGCACAUGUUCUCUUCUUUAAAGUGGAGAAUAUAUCAUGAAAAUAGAAUAAAGAAAGCAACAAAAGAGACGAGGAAGAAGAUAGAUUGGAAUAGCAAAGGCAAAGGGUUCUUCUGCAUGUCUUACAAAACAGAGGAACAGCAGUCAUUGCUUUAUGGCAACAUCACGGAAAAGCAAAUUAAGUACUUUUAAUGUACCAUUACUAGAAAAGAUUAUUUGGGUUAUUCAGAGAGGCAUAAAAUGAAUGCUAUUGCAUGUUUAUACUUCUUCUGUUCCAAUUUUAUAUAUUUUUAAAAAUAAAAAAAUUUAGAAUGCUUUGAAAUGUUUGUCAUCCUUCCAUUUCUAUAAAACUCACAGCUUUCAAAAAUUCAUAUAUAUAAAGUUACUCCAUUUUAAUGUUCUUUUCUUUUUUUUGCAUUUUUUUAAAAUCAAACUAGCUUAUCAACUUGUAACUUUUAGUAUUGAUUCCAUCAUCACUAACAUCAUACAUAUAAGUUAAACUAAUAUCUUAAAUUUCAUCCUCAGCCAACUACCUUUCUGUAAAAUAAAAAGAUGAAAUAUUAUUCAUAGUUUGAUAUAGAAACAUAAAGCAACUACUAGAUCUUGCACAUCAUCAAUUAGAAAAUCUACUUUACCAUAACAGAAGGGAAACUGAGAAUGACAAAAGAAAGACAAACAAUUGUUAAAGACAGUUUGAUCAGAUGAACAACACUAUAACAAGACAGUUAGGUCAGAUAAAUACUAUAACAAGAAGUCUCGGGUUCAAACCUUGUGAACGAAGAAAUUUCCGGUAGGGAGCACUUCUCCCUUAAAUGGGUCUCUGCUACGCACAUUUGGAUUAGAUGAGCUAAUGGGUUCCGGAUAUCAUAUGGUUGAACCUAACAAAAAAAAAAUUUAACUCCAUAAAUCUAUUGAUUUUAGUACAAUAUAAUAGUCCAAUGCAACUCAUACAGCUAACAAUGCACAUCCUCAUUUCAUUCCUAUCCACGUGCCAGCAAAACAGUAUAAGGGAACUCUGCUUUAUACCUAUACCACUUUACCUAAAGGUUGUAAUAUAUUCCUCCAAAGCGCAUAAAAUACCCUAAGAUAUCAGAAUCAGUUGAUCUUUUUCUUGAAAGUUCAACUGACAACUGAUGUGCAUACCUUGUUCAGAGAUGAGGAAUUUUCACUUAUUUCAUAUCAAGAUGGAAAAUAAUUAAACUUAGAUAACAAACAGUCUUACAAACCCCUGAAAUUUAUCCAAAAGAUAUAUUUUUGAUACCAAGAGUCAUUUCCUAACUAUGCAAUCGUGAUUUGUUGAACUUGCUGACCAAUACAAAAAUACAGCAGUUUAGAUGUAUCAUUGCAAUGUUAACAAGGAAAAGGUGCAAAAGAUACUAAGCAUUUCAUAAACAACUAAGUUUAAAUUCCCUAGUUUUCCCUCCACAGAAAAAUGCAAAAAAAAAAAGGAAAAAAAAGGAAGAAACAAAUGAGCACAAAUCUAUGGUGUUUUAGUUUUUAUAAGUGAACUAGAAAUUGAAUUAGCAAGGCGAUAAAUAGAGAUCUCAAGUUUGUGUCACAAUAAACUAUGACAGAAAACUGACAGGUAUCUAUACAUGUUUAUUAAAAAUAAACGGGCACAAAAGAAUGUAAAGUAACUAUUUAUAUUCUCUAGAGCAAAUUAAGGCUCAAGUCAAGGGAAAGGCAAGUAGUCAUCUUCGAGCAAAUGAGUUGACAUGUUUUCCAUCAGGCGACUACGGAAGCAAGUAAUAUCACUUUAUUUCUCCUUUCAAAGGGGUCCCAAUGCCUUGGAGAUGGCUGUCUUACACCAAUUAAAGAAUAGGAAAUAUCUAACGUACUGGAGGUCUCCCUCUAUUUUAGUUCUAUAUAUCCAGGCCGAAUAAGUACCAAACUUACUGAAGGAGACAAAAAGGUAUUUGUUCCUUAUUCCAAUAUUCCUGGCCUUCAAACAAAGCCAAGGAGAAGCAUCUCUCCACAAUUUUUUUACCUUUUUAUCGUAUUCCUUUUUAGUUACUCAAACAUGAUAUAUUAAAAUAGCAUAGACUGAAAAUAAUGCUCAAGAUAUUCCAAAAGUUCAUAUCACUAAAUACAGGAACAGGAGCAAGAUAUUGCAUGAAAGUCUCAUCUAAAAUCAUUAAAUUCUUUUUACCCAAGGCAGAGUAUAGCCAAUAUAAUAGAAUAAAACAUGCAUAUAGGAAAUGCUGCCUCAACAAAUUCUUAACAUGGCCAUAGUAAACUAACAGAGGUUUAUAGAAAGAAAUGUAUUAGUCUUUUUAUUUUGACAUGAAAUAAUUGAAGCAUCUCUCAACCAUUUCCCUAUCUCUUUGCUUUGUUUUUUUUAUCCAAUACAAAGUACUUGAAGCUCUGGUCAACAGAAUCUUCCAUUUGAAAGGGAAAAUGGUUUUGAAGUUUUCAAGAGGUCAUACAUCAUUCAAUAGUGGAUACUUUCAGUCUAUAUCAGAAAAAAAUUCCAAAUUUAAUUCUGGGAAUAUGGUUCCCAAACUUUGCCAGAUAAAGAAUAUGAGAACAUAAAAGUCUCUGGUGGAUAAAUUCUUGUACCCAUUGUAAGGUGUGAAGUGUUUCAAGCAAGUUAUAGUGCAGCGGAAUAUCAUGCUAGGGCCCACAGAUAUGUAAAACUGGAAAGAUGAGAUCUCUUUUUGAGCCGGCUGUGAAGAUUCGAUUGGUUCUAGCGUUCAACUGGCCCUGUCCAAGAUUCUAUGCUUCACCUAGACUCCCUCUCUCUUUCUCACCCCAUUCGCUUAUAAGAGCUCUUUGGAUACAUCUUUGGUCUGUGAAGUUGUACAACAAAGGAGAUAGAUAAGAGCAGUAGUGCAGUUUGAACUGAGUAUCAGAAGCAGAAUUGUUCUCUGAAGAAUAAUACAGAAGAAUCAUGAUUUGCAUCUAAAGGGUAAGACUAGACUGAAACCAAGUACAGCAGAUCACUUUCAGGUACGUUAUAAUUAGUUGAAUUACUUAUAUCGUGCCUAUUAACUCGCACCACGAGACUUAAUUGCUAAUCAUCAUACAGAAGGCCAGAAGAUGUACCAUCAUCACCACCAGGAUAAGAGCAUGCACCCUUCAACAAGAAUGUCUAUCUCUGAAAGGCAUCUGUUCCUGCAAGGUGGAAACGGCAACGGGGAUUCAGGGCUUGUCCUGUCAACUGAUGCCAAGCCAAGAUUGAAAUGGACACCAGACCUCCAUGAGAGGUUUAUAGAAGCCGUUAAUCAACUUGGUGGAGCAGACAGUAAGUGCACACAAAUAUACCAAUUUCAAGACGCACCAGGAAGAUGUUAUUUCGUGAAGAUAAUUAACUGCACUAUUCUUCUAUUGCAGAAGCCACGCCAAAAUCAGUUCUAAAGCUUAUGGGGAUCCAAGGAUUAACCUUGUACCACUUAAAGAGCCAUCUUCAGGUUCGUUCUUAUUUGCUUUAUGGCAUUACAAAAUCCAUGCAUAAACAAGACAUUCUAUGAGGGACAUAUUCGGCGUUGAAGUUUAGCUACCAAGGCAAUAGUUCCAAACAAAACAACUGGUGGUAAGAGGGGAAAAGCAUCUUUUGCAUCAACUGCAAAGAAUUUUCAAAUUGUUUCAUUUAAGCAGCUGCCAUAUAUGUACUUUUAUAGUGUGAAGGAAAACUGAUCAAAACUUUGUACCUGGGCUGGCAAAAAUGCAGAGAAAUAUAGCCCUUUGUUUUUCUUUACAUCCAUAAGACUGAAGAAUAUUUCUGACAAUUUUUUGAUACUUUUAGAUUGGCCAGAAACUAACGCUUUACAAAAAUGCUGGCAGAAAUACAGACUAAGUAAGAAUCUCCAUGGACAAGCAAAUGCUAGUGGGGCCAAUAAAGUUGGUAAGAAAUCAAAUACAUACCCAAGAAAAUAGUUCACAAAACUUCGUUUACGGAGAGAUAACAUCCGAAAACUUACUGACUUUGUGGAAUGGUUACAGCAGCAGGAGAAGAUAGGAUAUCUGAGAAUAGCGCAACUUGCAUGAGCAAUCCAAGCAUCGGACCCCAGCCAAACA
Molecule: long non-coding RNA, 4777 nt
Filed under: Nicotiana tabacum (common tobacco)
Lineage: Eukaryota; Viridiplantae; Streptophyta; Magnoliopsida; Solanales; Solanaceae
Description: long non-coding RNA (NTAB_LNC001353)
Source: RNAcentral